Molecule: ribosomal RNA, 3201 nt
Filed under: Armatimonadetes bacterium CP1_7O
Lineage: Bacteria; Bacillati; Armatimonadota
Also listed under: 2 other names
Description: bacterial LSU rRNA
Rfam family: Bacterial large subunit ribosomal RNA
Source: RNAcentral
GGCAAGCUACUAAGGGCGCACGGUGGAUGCCUAGGAGCAAGGAGCCGAUGAAGGGCGUGGUAAGCUGCGAUAAGCUGCGGGGAGCCGCAAACAGGCGUUGAUCCGCAGAUUCCCGAAUGGGGAAACCCGACCACCGUAAGGGUGGUCACCCACCGCUGAAUCCAUAGGCGGUGUGGAGGGAACCUGGGGAACUGAAACAUCUCAGUACCCAGAGGAAAAGAAAUCGAACGAGAUUCCCUCAGUAGCGGCGAGCGAACGGGGAAGAGCCUAAACCAAUCGGGCGUGCCCGAUUGGGGUCGUGGGACUGACAUAAGGGAGCCGCGCGUGUAGCAGAAUCGCCUGGAACGGCGAGCCAUAGAGGGUGACAGCCCCGUAUGCGAAACACGCAACGCCCCGUCAGUAUCCCGAGUAGCACGGGAUAAGAGGAGCCCUGUGCGAAUCUGCCCGGACCACCGGGUAAGGCUAAAUACUCCUUGCUACCGAUAGUGCAACCAGUACCGUGAGGGAAAGGUGAAAAGCACCCCGGCGAGGGGAGUGAAAAGAACCUGAAACCGUGCGCUUACAAACAGUCGGAGGACUAUACCCCUCUGGGGGACAGUCUGACGGCGUGCCUUUUGCAGAAUGAGCCGGCGAGUUGUGCUCAGCGGCGAGGUUAAGCGUCUCAGACGCGGAGCCGUAGCGAAAGCGAGUCCUCACAGGGCGACCCAGUCGCUGGGCGCAGACCCGAAACCGCGUGAUCUAACCCUGGUCAGGCUGAAGCCGUGGUAACACACGGUGGAGGGCCGAACUGGUGACCGUUGAAAAGGUCUCGGAGGAACUGGGGUUAGUGUGGUGAAAUGCCAAUCGAACGCGGAGAUAGCUGGUUCUCCCCGAAAUGCAUUGAGGUGCAGCCUCACGCGCUAUGCUAUGCAGGUAGAGCCACUGGAUGGGCUAGGGGCCCCACCAGGUUACUGAACCCAACCAAACUCCGAAUGGCAUAGCAGGAAGCGUGGGAGUGAGACAGCGACGGAUGAGCGCCGUUGUCAAAAGGGCAACAGCCCAGACCGCCCGCUAAGGUCCCUAAACACAGGCUAAGUGUGAAAGGAUGUAGGGUCGCGUAAACAACCAGGAGGUUGGCUUAGAAGCAGCCAUCCUUUAAACAGUGCGUAACAGCUGACUGGUCGAAUGUGACCCUGCGCCGACAAUGUAAGGGGGCUCAAGCCUGUUACCGAAGCGGCGGGUUCCCGUUAGGGAGCGGUAGGGGAGCGUUCUGCACGCAGUGAAGGUGGAGCGAAAGCACCGCUGGAGCGUGCAGAAGUGAGAAUGCCGGCACGAGUAGCGAGAAGACAGGUGAGAAUCCUGUCCGCCGAAAGCCUAAGGGUUCUUCAGGCAGGUUCGUCCGCUGAAGGUCAGGCGGUCCUAAGCCGAGGGCGAAAAGCCGUAGGCGAAGGGCAGUGGGUCAACAUUCCCACCCCAGGUGGCGGAGCAAAGCGGUGACGCUUCAGAAUCGGUUGGGCGCGGAGUUGGAAGGCCGCGUUCGCCCCGGCGGCAACUCCGGGGCGACGAAGGGAUCCCUCGGGUGAACGAAGCAACCGUGACUGGAGCCGAGAAAACCCGCGUAGCGUUGAAACCACCUGACCGUACCGCAAACCGACACAGGUAGGCGAGGCGAGGAGCCUCAGGCGCGCGAGAGAAGUCCCGCUAAGGAACUCGGCAAAUUGACCCCGUAACUUCGGGAGAAGGGGUGCCUCGAAAGAGGUCGCAGCAAAGAGGGCCCGGCGACUGUUUACCAAAAACACAGCUCUCUGCGAAGGGGAAACCCGAUGUAUAGGGGGCGACGCUUGGCCAAUGCCCGUAGGUUAAGGGGAGGGGUCAGCCGCAAGGUGCAGCCCCAAACUGAAGCCCGGGUGAAUGCCGGCCGUAACUCUAACGGUCCUAUGGUAGCGAAAUUCCUUGUCGCGUAAAUUGCGACCCGCACGAAAAGCGUAACGACUGGGCCACUGUCUCAGCGGGACACUCGGUGAAACUGUAGCACCCGUGAAGAUGCGGGUUACCUGCGGUAGGACGGAAAGACCCUAUGGAGCUUUACUACAGCCUGGGAUUGCAUUUCGGUAUGUCAUGUAGAGCGUAGGUGGGAGCUUCGGCGCCAAUGGAACACCACCCUUGACCUACUGAAAUGCUAACCUGCGCCGUAAUCCGGCGUGGAGACAGUCUUAGGUGGGUAGUUUGACUGGGGCGGUCGCCUCCUAAACGGUAACGGAGGCGUCCAAAGGUCCGCUCAGCGCGGUCGGAAAUCGCGCGUCGAGUGCAAGGGCAUAAGCGGGCUUGACUGUGAGACCCACGGGUCGAGCAGAUGCGAAAGCAGGGCCUAGUGACCCUCUGGUUGUGCGUGGGCACGCCAGGGUUCAACGGAUAAAAGCUACCCUAGGGAUAACAGGCUGAUCCUGCCCGAGCGUCCACAGCGACGGCGGGGUUUGGCACCUCGAUGUCGGCUCGUCGCAUCCUGGGGCUGAAUAGGGUCCCAAGGGUUGGGGGGUUCACCCAUUAAAGCGGCACGCGAGCUGGGUUCAGAACGUUAGCCCAAAAGGGCUUGGCGUCCCGCAGAAGCAAUUCUGCGGUGCCUACCGGCUCAUAUCGGUAGACCCCUCCUGCAGUUCGACCGAACGCUGCAGAGGGCAAUACCGAGGGAAGAAUGGGAGCUGAAGAUGAAGGACACCUUGAUGAGUACAAGGUUAUGCCAGUAAUGCGCUGCAAGCUUCCAUUCCCCGUAACGACUGAAGGCGAUAUGCCUGAGAUGGGGCGUCCUGCGCGAAAGGCGCAAAUCUAUGACACCCAUCAUACGCCGGCUCCUUCCAGUCCUUCAGGAAGGAUGGAGGUAUAGUCUACACCCUUGGAAACAAGGGAGGUAUGUGCGUGAGACAGUUCGGUCCCUAUCCACCGCAGGCGUAGGAGACUUGAGGGGAGCUGGCCCUAGUACGAGAGGACCGGGCUGGACUGACCUCUGGUGUACCAGUUGUUCCGCCAGGAGCAGACGCUGGGUAGCCAUGUCGGGAAGGGAUAAGCGCUGAAAGCAUCUAAGCGCCAAGCCCACCCCAAGAUAAGGUCUCCCAUCCGGACAACGGAGUAAGGUCCCCGGUAGAUGACCGGGUUGAUAGGCGGCGCGUGUAAGCGCAGUAAUGCGUUGAGCUGAGCCGUACUAAUUGACCGAGGGCUUGCCUAAAA